This 549-nucleotide ribosomal RNA is filed under the name uncultured bacterium. RNAcentral describes it as "bacterial SSU rRNA". It matches the Rfam family "Bacterial small subunit ribosomal RNA", at positions 356 to 896 of the family's 1533-position model. The record is from RNAcentral.
AGGGAAUCUUCGGCAAUGGACGGAAGUCUGACCGAGCAACGCCGCGUGAGUGAAGAAGGUUUUCGGAUCGUAAAGCUCUGUUGUAAGAGAAGAACGAGUGUGAGAGUGGAAAGUUCACACUGUGACGGUAUCUUGCCAGAAAGGGACGGCUAACUACGUGCCAGCAGCCGCGGUAAUACGUAGGUCCCGAGCGUUGUCCGGAUUUAUUGGGCGUAAAGCGAGCGCAGGCGGUUAGAUAAGUCUGAAGUUAAAGGCUGUGGCUUAACCAUAGUAGGCUUUGGAAACUGUUUAACUUGAGUGCAAGAGGGGAGAGUGGAAUUCCAUGUGUAGCGGUGAAAUGCGUAGAUAUAUGGAGGAACACCGGUGGCGAAAGCGGCUCUCUGGCUUGUAACUGACGCUGAGGCUCGAAAGCGUGGGGAGCAAACAGGAUUAGAUACCCUGGUAGUCCACGCCGUAAACGAUGAGUGCUAGGUGUUAGACCCUUUCCGGGGUUUAGUGCCGUAGCUAACGCAUUAAGCACUCCGCCUGGGGAGUACGACCGCAAGGUUG